RNAcentral lists this ribosomal RNA (500 nucleotides) under uncultured bacterium. RNAcentral describes it as "partial 16S ribosomal RNA". It matches the Rfam family "Bacterial small subunit ribosomal RNA", at positions 30 to 523 of the family's 1533-position model. The record is from RNAcentral.
AUUGAACGCUGGCGGAAUGCUUUACACAUGCAAGUCGAACGGCAGCACGGACUUCGGUCUGGUGGCGAGUGGCGAACGGGUGAGUAACAUAUCGGAACGUGUCCAAUAAUGGGGGAUAACUAAUCGAAAGGUUGGCUAAUACCGCAUACGCCCUACGGGGGAAAGCAGGGGAUCUUCGGACCUUGCGUUAAUGGAGCGGCUGAUUGCUGAUUAGCUAGUUGGGGAGGUAAAGGCUCACCAAGGCGACGAUCAGUAGCUGGUCUGAGAGGACGACCAGCCACACUGGAACUGAGACACGGUCCAGACUCCUACGGGAGGCAGCAGUGGGGAAGUUUGGACAAUGGGCGCAAGCCUGAUCCAGCCAUUCCGCGUGAGUGAAGAAGGCCUUCGGGUUGUAAAGCUCUUUCGCAAGGGAAGAAAACUUACUUUCUAAUAAAGAGUGAGGUUGACGGUACCUUGAUAAGAAGCACCGGCUAACUACGUGCCAGCCGCCGCCGUAA